RNAcentral lists this ribosomal RNA (253 nucleotides) under uncultured bacterium. RNAcentral's name for it is "partial 16S ribosomal RNA". It matches the Rfam family "Bacterial small subunit ribosomal RNA", at positions 524 to 776 of the family's 1533-position model. The record is from RNAcentral.
UACGAAGGGGGCCAGCGUUGCUCGGAAUCACUGGGCGUAAAGCGCACGUAGGCGGAUUGUUAAGUCAGGGGUGAAAUCCUGGAGCUCAACUCCAGAACUGCCUUUGAUACUGGCGAUCUUGAGUCCGGGAGAGGUGAGUGGAACUGCGAGUGUAGAGGUGAAAUUCGUAGAUAUUCGCAAGAACACCAGUGGCGAAGGCGGCUCACUGGCCCGGUACUGACGCUGAGGUGCGAAAGCGUGGGGAGCAAACAGG